RNAcentral lists this ribosomal RNA (497 nucleotides) under uncultured bacterium. RNAcentral's name for it is "partial 16S ribosomal RNA". It matches the Rfam family "Bacterial small subunit ribosomal RNA", at positions 29 to 506 of the family's 1533-position model. The record is from RNAcentral.
ACGAACGCUGGCGGCGUGCCUAAUACAUGCAAGUCGAGCGAAGUUUUUCUGGUGCUUGCACUAGAAAAACUUAGCGGCGAACGGGUGAGUAACACGUAAAGAACCUGCCUCAUAGACUGGGACAACUAUUGGAAACGAUAGCUAAUACCGGAUAACAGCAUUAACUGCAUGGUUGAUGUUUAAAAGUUGGUUUUGCUAACACUAUGAGAUGGCUUUGCGGUGCAUUAGCUAGUUGGUGGGGUAAAGGCCUACCAAGGCGACGAUGCAUAGCCGACCUGAGAGGGUGAUCGGCCACACUGGGACUGAGACACGGCCCAGACUCCUACGGGAGGCAGCAGUAGGGAAUCUUCCGCAGUGGGCGAAAGCCUGACGGAGCAACGCCGCGUGAGUGAAGAAGGAUUUCGGUUCGUAAAGCUCUGUUGUUAGGGAAGAAUGAUUGUGUAGUAACUAUACACAGUAGAGACGGUACCUAACCAGAAAGCCACGGCUAACUACGU